Molecule: long non-coding RNA, 3275 nt
Filed under: Homo sapiens (human)
Lineage: Eukaryota; Metazoa; Chordata; Mammalia; Primates; Hominidae
Description: PREDICTED lncRNA (TCONS_00222958)
Source: RNAcentral
AAGAUUUGGGAAGUCAGACCUCACAUCACUGGGAUACUGGUCAGAGGACAGCCCUUGGAUGUCUUCUAGAGUCUCCAUUCCCUCCUUCGCAUGAGUCCUUUCUGUGAUUAGGGUAUGGCAGCAACAACCAAGAUGGGGGCUCUGAAAGGAGGGCAAGGGUUCAGGGGAGGAGAGCAUGGCCCCACAUGGAAUGCUGCCCUUGGUCACCCCAGCCCUCUCUCAAUUUCCCUCACAACCCACCAUCAGGAGCCUCAGAGUAGGCCAGCGUUUGAAACAAGUUUUCAGUGCCGCAAAAGAAACAGCACUCAAACAGAAAUUUUUUUCUCAGCAAGGCAAAUUUACUUCUGCAGAAGGGUGCAGCUGGCGCCAGACAUGAUCACAAGAGCACACUGAGUAGGGUGGGGCAGGAGUUUUUAUCCCUAAUGCAGCAGCUUCUGUAGCUGUGUCCUUUCCCCAUUGGCUGGAGUUGGACUGCACAAUCUAAGCUGAGACCUGACUGGCUACUGUUUAAAAUUGAACAGGGCUAACUAGGCAGGAAGGGAGAGGCUGUCCCUUACAAUUUUAGGGUGCAGUAAAGGCAGAAAGGAUAGUUGCAGAGUAGGGAAUAGAUGUGAGUUAUAGAUUAGGACUGAUGGGAAGAUUGUUUACCAUAAUUAGAGGCAAGGGGGCAUAAAGAACGAGGAAGUUACUCUUUGAAAAUAGAGAACAAAGAACAAGGAAGCUGAACAAGCUGACUCUUCUUUGAAGAGGAACCCACCGUACCCAACACCAGAAAGACUAUAACCUUGCUUUGAAGGCUGGGAGUCCAAGAUCCAGGUGUCAGCAGUGUUGGUAUCUCCUGUGGCCACUCUCCUGGGCUUGCAGACGGCGUCUUCUCCCUGUGUCCCCACAUGACCACCCUUCUCCACCUUAGCAUCCCCGGUGUCUCUGUGUGUCCGGAUGUCCUUUUCUCAUGAGGGAAGUGAACUUGACAUGGUUUAGCAACCAAAUAAAGCCAUACGUCACUGCUGCUCUUUGAAGAUAAUGAAAUCUGGCAUCGAGAUCUUUAUCUUUGCAGGAACCAAAGGCCAGAGACUUCUCAGCAAACACAAGACCAGAGAGAGAAGCAUCCCUGCUGAUGAGAAAGAACAGACACUCCCAGAGGACAAGGUCCACCUGUCAGGCAGCCACAGCCCAGCAUACUCUGGAGUCUGAGGUGGGGGUCAGUUGUGAAGAAAGGGAAGAAGGAAGAAAAAGGAUACGUUGUGCUCCGACCACAGGCCAAGGUCAGAAGACGGUAUUUACCAAGUCUCUUCCCAAAAUACUUGCAAAUGCACAUAAUCUCAAAGUGUUUUUGAGGGCUCUUCCGAUCUAAAAUUGGUCCUAGUGACAAGGGGUGUUUGGGGAAAUCAAAGGGCUGGCUUAACUAUGUAGACCUAGGUCUGGUCUUAUUUCUGGCCCAUACGAUCAUCAUGACCUUGGACAAAUGAAACUUCCUGGGCCUCAAGUUCCUUGUAUCAGAAAGGAUGGCAUUCAGCUGCGUACAACAGAAAACCAAAUCACAGUGGCUUAUCCAAGAAAAGUUCAAUUUUUCUCAAAACUACAGCGUCCUGGGCUGAUGCGGCAGCCCCAGGACGACCUCAGCAUCUCACUCCUCCUUUCUUUACUCGGCCCCAUCCUCAGGCUGUGACUUUCAUCCUCAGGUUUGUCAUCUUUUGGUGGUAAGAUGGUUGCUCUACCUCAAGCUCACAAAAAGAAAUGGGGGAAAGCAGGAAAGAAGAAAAUCUGCUUCCCCAGAGACUCUGAGGCUGCACUUGCACAUCUUAUGGAUCCAAACUGUGUCCCAUGGCUGCCCCUAGAUGCAAGGGGCCUGGGGAAAUGAGCGGAUUCAUCAGGUACACUGCAACCGUACAUGAAAGGAAAGUUCUGUCAAUAAAGAAGAGCGAAAUCUACAUUUGGUCAGGAAACAGCAUUGCCUGCAAUAUGCCUCAUAUGAAAUAAAGCCUUUCUUGCCCCCAUUCUGCUACUCGGUCAUUCUUGCACUCAACAAAUAGAUGUUGAGUGCCCACUCUCUCCAGGCCAUGUUCUAGGUGCUGCGGAUGCAAUCCUGAAUCUAUGAACACGAUUGGCAGAACAAUAAAUAUUGAUUGUCUUGGCCACUCACCAAAUAAAGUGCUCCUGGGAAGGCUGAGAUCUAAUGCAAAGCAGCAGCUUGACUUUCUCACUCCCUGGCAACAAUGCCAAGCAAGAGAAAGCGAUGGGUAAGGCCUGGCUCAAGAGUCUCACUGCAACCUGCACUGUAGAUUCUACCUGCUAAUUUCCUCAGCCUUCUCUGGUUUUGGGCUUCAGAAUGCCCUAACUCUGGGCCCGGCGCGGUGGCUCACGCCUGUAAACCCAUCACUUUGGGAGGCCAAGGCGGGUGGAUCACAAGAUCAAGACCAUCCUGGCCAACAUGGUGAAACCCUGUCUCUACUGAAAAUACAAAAAUUAGCUGGGCAUGGUGGCUUGUGCUUGUAAUCCAGCUACUUGGAAGGCUGAGGCUGGAGGAUCGCUUGAACCCAGAAGGCAGAGGUUGCAGUGAGCUGAGAUCACACCACUGCACUCCAGCCUGGCAACAGAGUGAGACUCUGUCUCAAAAAAAAAAAAAAAAAAAAAAAGAAUGCCCUAAGUCUACUCUGGACCAUGAGCAAGGAUAAUCUGUCUUAGAGGAGAGAAGGUGAGGUUAUGAUUCCAGAGCAUUUGGUGACCCAGGAAGUAGACCUGCCUCCUCCUAUCUGUCCACAGAGCAGUCCUAGGGGCAAUAGGCCAUGAGAAGAUCAUGCCAGGCAGUCCAUUUCUAUAUUACCAUGUAAACAAAAACUCAGCUGUGAACCCUGGAACGUUCGUAUUCUGCAGCUGCCAGUGUAAACUGGUACAGGCCUCUUGAAGAACAGUGGGGAAAGGCACUCUGAAAGCAUCCACGCCUCCAUACCUGCUGAUCCAGGGCUCUGAUUUUCCUUCUGGGAACCAAGCCUAGGAGAAUGAUUCAAGCUGCAGAAAACCUUUCUCCACUAAGAUGUUUGCUGUGGCAUUCAGUAUAAUAGCACACCAGAGAAACAAUCUAAAGAUUCAUCAGUAGGAGAAUAUCUAAGUAAAUUAUGGUACAUACACUCAAUAAAAUGUUAUAUGACUACUAAUUAUGGUGGUUACAAAGACUAUCUCUUUAAGAAAAAUGCUUCUGUGAAUGGUUAAGUGAAAAUUGCAAGAUACGGGCUGGGUGCAGUGGCUCACACCGGGUGCAGAGUCUCACUCUGUUG